Molecule: ribosomal RNA, 468 nt
Filed under: uncultured bacterium
Lineage: Bacteria
Description: partial 16S ribosomal RNA
Rfam family: Bacterial small subunit ribosomal RNA
Source: RNAcentral
GACGAACGCUGGCGGCGUGCUUAACACAUGCAAGUCGAACGGUGAAGCUCGAGCUUGCUGGAGUGGAUCAGUGUCGAACGGGUGAGUAACACGUGAGCAACCUGCCCCUGACUCUGGAAUAAGCGCUGGAAAAGGCGUCUUAUUAUGGAUACGAGUCGGGCCCGCAUGGGCACUUUCUUGCAAGUUUUUUGGUUGGGGAUGGGCUCGCGGCCUAUCAGCUUGUUGGUGAGGUAAUGGCACACCAAGGCGACGACGGGUAGCCGGCCUGAGAGGGCGACCGGCCACACUGGGACUGAGACACGGCCCAGACUCCUACGUGAGGCAGCAGUGGGGAAUAUUGCACAAUGGUCGAAAGCCUGAUGCAGCGACGCCGCGUGAGUGAUGACGGCCUUCAGGUUGUAAACCUCUUUCAGCAGGGAAGAAGCGAAAGUGACGGUACCGGCAGAAGAAGCACCGGCUAACUACGUG